RNAcentral lists this transfer RNA (74 nucleotides) under Clostridiales bacterium. RNAcentral's name for it is "tRNA-Asp". It matches the Rfam family "tRNA". Rfam says of the family: Transfer RNA (tRNA) molecules are approximately 80 nucleotides in length. Their secondary structure includes four short double-helical elements and three loops (D, anti-codon, and T loops). Further hydrogen bonds mediate the characteristic L-shaped molecular structure. tRNAs have two regions of fundamental functional importance: the anti-codon, which is responsible for specific mRNA codon recognition, and the 3' end, to which the tRNAs corresponding amino acid is attached (by aminoacyl-tRNA synthetases). tRNAs cope with the degeneracy of the genetic code in two manners: having more than one tRNA (with a specific anti-codon) for a particular amino acid; and 'wobble' base-pairing, i.e. permitting non-standard base-pairing at the 3rd anti-codon position. The record is from RNAcentral. RNAcentral also lists the same sequence under 1 other name. Lineage: Bacteria; Bacillati; Bacillota; Clostridia; Eubacteriales.
GGUCCAAUAGCUCAGUUGGUUAGAGCGCUGGCCUGUCACGCCAGAGGUCGAGGGUUCGAGCCCCUUUUGGAUCG